GGAACGCAUAGCAAUAGCUCAGUGGUAGAGCAUUCGACUGCAGAUCGAGAGGUCCCCGAUUCCAACUCGGAUGCUCCCU
Trichonephila inaurata madagascariensis is the source of this 79-nucleotide non-coding RNA. The record is from the annotation of a GenBank genome assembly. NCBI's taxonomy places the organism in Eukaryota, Metazoa, Arthropoda, Arachnida, Araneae, Nephilidae.